UACGAGUGCCUCAAGCGUUAUCCGGAAUUACUGGGCGUAAAGGGUGCGUAGGUGGUUAUAUUAGUCUUCGGUCAAAUUUCUCCGCUUAACGGAGAAUCCGCCGGGGAAACGGUAUAACUAGAGGAUGUGAGAGGUGAGCGGAACUCAUGGUGUAGGGGUGAAAUCCGUUGAUGUCAUGGGGAACACCAAAAGCGAAGGCAGCUCACUGGCACACUCCUGACACUGAAGCACGAAAGCGUGGGUAGCGAAU
This 250-nucleotide ribosomal RNA is filed under the name uncultured bacterium. RNAcentral's name for it is "partial 16S ribosomal RNA". It matches the Rfam family "Bacterial small subunit ribosomal RNA", at positions 524 to 773 of the family's 1533-position model. The record is from RNAcentral.